RNAcentral lists this ribosomal RNA (253 nucleotides) under uncultured bacterium. RNAcentral describes it as "partial 16S ribosomal RNA". It matches the Rfam family "Bacterial small subunit ribosomal RNA", at positions 524 to 776 of the family's 1533-position model. The record is from RNAcentral.
UACGUAGGGAGCAAGCGUUGUCCGGAUUCACUGGGUGUAAAGGGUGCGUAGGCGGGAAGGUAAGUCCGCGGUGAAAUCUCACAGCUCAACUGUGAAACUGCCGUUGAUACUGCUUUUCUUGAGUUCGGGAGAGGUUGAUGGAAUUCCAGGUGUAGCGGUGAAAUGCGUAGAUAUCUGGAAGAACACCAGUGGCGAAGGCGGUCAACUGGCCCGAUACUGACGCUGAGGCGCGAAAGCGUGGGGAGCAAACAGG